Molecule: long non-coding RNA, 201 nt
Filed under: Panax ginseng (ginseng)
Lineage: Eukaryota; Viridiplantae; Streptophyta; Magnoliopsida; Apiales; Araliaceae
Description: long non-coding RNA (PGIN_LNC009509)
Source: RNAcentral
CCUCAUCUACUCUAGCAAUUAUGAACGCCUUUUCUAUUUCAUUCACCCAUGUCUGGGCUUCUGUAGGGUCAGCUGAUCCUCUGAACUCUGGUGGUCCUACUGCUUUGAAGUCUUUGAAUUUCGCCAAGCGAUUGUCUGGUUGGUUCCCUGCAGCUGGUAUUCCUUGCUGCAUAGCCUGAGCCAUCAUGUUUGCAAAGUUUU